This 338-nucleotide unclassified non-coding RNA is filed under the name soil metagenome. RNAcentral describes it as "partial contains 5.8S ribosomal RNA, internal transcribed spacer 2, and large subunit ribosomal RNA". The stretch from base 1 to 121 matches the Rfam family "5.8S ribosomal RNA", at positions 35 to 154 of the family's 154-position model. The record is from RNAcentral.
GAUGAAGAACGUAGCGUAAUGCGAUAAGUAAUGCGAAUUGCAGAAUUUCCGUGAGUCAUCGAAUCUUUGAACGCACAUUGCGCCCCUUGGUAUUCCAUGGGGCAUGCCUGUUCGAGCGUCAUUUGUACCUUCAAGCUCUGCUUGGUGUUGGGUGUUUGUCUCGCCUCUGCGUGUAGACUCGCCUCAAAAUAAUUGGCAGCCGGCGUAUUGAUUUCGGAGCGCAGUACAUCUCGCGCUUUGCACUCAUAACGACGACGUCCAAAAGUACAUUUUUACACUCUUGACCUCGGAUCAGGUAGGGAUACCCGCUGAACUUAAGCAUAUCAAUAAGCGGAGGA